Molecule: ribosomal RNA, 1101 nt
Filed under: uncultured Davidiella
Lineage: Eukaryota; Fungi; Ascomycota; Dothideomycetes; Cladosporiales; Cladosporiaceae
Description: eukaryotic LSU rRNA
Rfam family: Eukaryotic large subunit ribosomal RNA (bases 475-1101)
Source: RNAcentral
AGGGAUCAUUACAAGAACGCCCGGGCUUCGGCCUGGUUAUUCAUAACCCUUUGUUGUCCGACUCUGUUGCCUCCGGGGCGACCCUGCCUUCGGGCGGGGGCUCCGGGUGGACACUUCAAACUCUUGCGUAACUUUGCAGUCUGAGUAAACUUAAUUAAUAAAUUAAAACUUUUAACAACGGAUCUCUUGGUUCUGGCAUCGAUGAAGAACGCAGCGAAAUGCGAUAAGUAAUGUGAAUUGCAGAAUUCAGUGAAUCAUCGAAUCUUUGAACGCACAUUGCGCCCCCUGGUAUUCCGGGGGGCAUGCCUGUUCGAGCGUCAUUUCACCACUCAAGCCUCGCUUGGUAUUGGGCAACGCGGUCCGCCGCGUGCCUCAAAUCGUCCGGCUGGGUCUUCUGUCCCCUAAGCGUUGUGGAAACUAUUCGCUAAAGGGUGUUCGGGAGGCUACGCCGUAAAACAACCCCAUUUCUAAGGUUGACCUCGGAUCAGGUAGGGAUACCCGCUGAACUUAAGCAUAUCAAUAAGCGGAGGAAAAGAAACCAACAGGGAUUGCUCUAGUAACGGCGAGUGAAGCAGCAAUAGCUCAAAUUUGAAAUCUGGCGUCUUCGACGUCCGAGUUGUAAUUUGUAGAGGAUGCUUCUGAGUGGCCACCGACCUAAGUUCCUUGGAACAGGACGUCAUAGAGGGUGAGAAUCCCGUAUGCGGUCGGAAAGGCGCUCUAUACGUAGCUCCUUCGACGAGUCGAGUUGUUUGGGAAUGCAGCUCUAAAUGGGAGGUAAAUUUCUUCUAAAGCUAAAUAUUGGCCAGAGACCGAUAGCGCACAAGUAGAGUGAUCGAAAGAUGAAAAGCACUUUGGAAAGAGAGUUAAAAAGCACGUGAAAUUGUUAAAAGGGAAGGGAUUGCAACCAGACUUGCUCGCGGUGUUCCGCCGGUCUUCUGACCGGUCUACUCGCCGCGUUGCAGGCCAGCAUCGUCUGGUGCCGCUGGAUAAGACUUGAGGAAUGUAGCUCCCUCGGGAGUGUUAUAGCCUCUUGUGAUGCAGCGAGCGCCGGGCGAGGUCCGCGCUUCGGCUAGGAUGCUGGCGUAAUGGUCGUAAUCCGCC